RNAcentral lists this unclassified non-coding RNA (240 nucleotides) under soil metagenome. RNAcentral describes it as "partial contains 5.8S ribosomal RNA, internal transcribed spacer 2, and large subunit ribosomal RNA". The record is from RNAcentral.
AACGCACGAGACCUGCGGACCUGCGGAGGGAUCAUUAUUGAUUCACAGGAUAGGGGGAUGUGCUGGCGGAAUCUACCUUCUGCACCGUGCACUCCUGCUUCCUUUUACAUCUCUUGCAUUUGACCCUGUGCACCUUUUGUAGGUGGAAGUUCCAAAUUUCCACCUAUGCUUUUUUUUUGUAAACACCAUCUGUUUUCGUAUAAUUUUUGAUAUUGAAAACCUUUGACAACUUUCAACAAC